UACGAAGGGGGCUAGCGUUGUUCGGAAUUACUGGGCGUAAAGCGCGGGCAGGCGGCUAUCCAAGUCAGUGGUGAAAGCCCGGAGCUCAACUCCGGAACUGCCAUUGAAACUGUUUAGCUUGAGGACGAGAGAGGUGAGUGGAAUUCCCAGUGUAGAGGUGAAAUUCGUACAUAUUGGGAAGAACACCAUUGGCGAAGGCGGCUCACUGGCUCGUUUCUGCCGCUCAGGCGCGAUAGCGUGGGGAUCAAACAGG
RNAcentral lists this ribosomal RNA (253 nucleotides) under uncultured bacterium. RNAcentral describes it as "partial 16S ribosomal RNA". It matches the Rfam family "Bacterial small subunit ribosomal RNA", at positions 524 to 776 of the family's 1533-position model. The record is from RNAcentral.